CGGGAUGUAGCGCAGUCCGGUAGCGUACUAGCAUGGGGUGCUAGGGGUCGCUGGUUCGAAUCCAGUCUUCCCGACCA
This 77-nucleotide transfer RNA is filed under the name Flavobacterium suaedae. Its description in RNAcentral is "tRNA-Pro". It matches the Rfam family "tRNA". From Rfam's summary of the family: Transfer RNA (tRNA) molecules are approximately 80 nucleotides in length. The record is from RNAcentral. Lineage: Bacteria; Pseudomonadati; Bacteroidota; Flavobacteriia; Flavobacteriales; Flavobacteriaceae.